This 345-nucleotide long non-coding RNA is filed under the name Elaeis guineensis (African oil palm). Its description in RNAcentral is "long non-coding RNA (EGUI_LNC022318)". The record is from RNAcentral. Lineage: Eukaryota; Viridiplantae; Streptophyta; Magnoliopsida; Arecales; Arecaceae.
GGUUUGGAUCUAGAUCUUAUUGUUUUUGACUCUACCAUCUCCAUUUACAAUUAUACUUACCUACCAAUCCUACUAGAAGCUGUGUGUGAACUUGUAGAAUUUUUGAACUUGUUAUUGGACCUAUAAUUUUAAUCAACAAAGUGGUUGGUUUCAAAUAAAAGUAUACUUCAGCUUGUGGCCAAGUUUGGAUGAUGCAAGUAUUUGAUCUAGAUAUUAUAAUGUGGAUAGAUUUUUUUUUUUUUCAUUCCUGGCAACACUUAUGAAAUUUAGGAUUUAACAAUUUUCUAAGAAAAUCGAGGUGCCGAGGAUUCCUCUUGUCUUAAAACCACUACUAGUUUAAUAGAA